CGUAGCGUCUCAGACGAGACAUUACUGAAUCGAAAGUUCAUCUUGUUCUGAUCCUGAGCACCUUAUGUAGUCCCAAAGCCUUCACGGGCGGCGGUUGUCUACGUCUACCUCACACCUUAGGGUAUGUUAACGAAUGUAAUCAUGGUCUUGACAGACCCUAAAAAGUUAAUACAACUUUCGACAACGGAUCUCUUGGCUCUCGCAUCGAUGAAGAACGCAUCGAAAUGCGAUAAGUAAUGUGAAUUGCAAAAUUCAGUGAAUCAUCGAAUCUUUGAACGCACCUUGCGCCCUUUGGUAUUCCGAGGGGCAUGCCUGUUUGAGUGUCAUUAAAUACCAUCAACCCUCUUUUGACUUCGGUCUCGAGAGUGGCUUGGAAGUGGAGGUCUGCUGGAGCCUAACGGAGCCAGCUCCUCUUAAAUGCAUUAGCGGAUUUCCCUUGCGGGAUCGCGUCUCCGAUGUGAUAAUUUCUACGUCGUUGACCAUCUCGGGGCUGACCUAGUCAGUUUCAAUAGGAGUCUGCUUCUAACCGUCUCUUGACCGAGACUAGCGACUUGUGCGCUAACUUUUGACUUGACCUCAAAUCAGGUAGGACUACCCGCUGAACUUAAGCAUAUCAAUAAGCGGGACGAGAAUU
RNAcentral lists this ribosomal RNA (634 nucleotides) under Schizophyllum commune. RNAcentral's name for it is "eukaryotic LSU rRNA". The stretch from base 173 to 326 matches the Rfam family "5.8S ribosomal RNA". The record is from RNAcentral. Lineage: Eukaryota; Fungi; Basidiomycota; Agaricomycetes; Agaricales; Schizophyllaceae.